RNAcentral lists this ribosomal RNA (361 nucleotides) under uncultured bacterium. Its description in RNAcentral is "bacterial SSU rRNA". It matches the Rfam family "Bacterial small subunit ribosomal RNA", at positions 9 to 337 of the family's 1533-position model. The record is from RNAcentral.
GAGUUUGAUCGUGGCUCAGGAUGAACGCUGGCGGCAUGCCUAAGACAUGCAAGUCGAACGAAGUGGCCCAUAGAAGUGGAGUGCUUGCACAAAGCGGAAAUGGAUUCCCACUUAGUGGCAGACGGGUGAGUAACACGUGGGUAACCUACCUCAGAGACUGGGAUAACAGUUAGAAAUGACUGCUAAUACCGGAUAAUUUGUAAAAGGAAAACUUUUUAUACUAAAAGGAGCUUCGGCUUCACUUUGAGAUGGGCUUGCGGUGUAUUAGCUAGUUGGUGGGGUAAUGGCCUACCAAGGCAACGAUGCAUAUCCGAGCUGAGAGGCUGAUCGGACACACUGGGACUGAGACACGGCCCAGACU